GGACCAUUUACAUUGAGAUUGAUGGGUGCUUUCAAACUCUUCCUUAAGUUUUAACUUUUGAAAUAACAUGAGGAGGAAAUUCUACUUCGAAACAAAUUUCUGGGACUAAGCACUAUGGCAGAUUCGGGUUUCUGAUCAUAGAAUCAGGUUUAUGAUCAUAUAACUUGCGCUGUUAGAAAUUUUACAUGGCAAGGAAAGUCUUGUCAGAUUUACUAAUUCUUCUCCUAAUGGGCUUGCUCUUCAUCGGCAACUUGUUGCUGUACUUUUGUUUCUGAUGGUGGAAAGGGGCACCAUUUGGAUAUUUUGAUGGCUGGUCAUCCAUCAUCAGUUGUUUUGGCAUUGAAUUUGCACUAUUUCCU
RNAcentral lists this long non-coding RNA (359 nucleotides) under Phoenix dactylifera (date palm). RNAcentral describes it as "long non-coding RNA (PDAC_LNC004219)". The record is from RNAcentral. Lineage: Eukaryota; Viridiplantae; Streptophyta; Magnoliopsida; Arecales; Arecaceae.